This 1230-nucleotide unclassified non-coding RNA is filed under the name Lingula anatina. Its description in RNAcentral is "uncharacterized LOC106165840, transcript variant X1". Lineage: Eukaryota; Metazoa; Brachiopoda; Lingulata; Lingulida; Lingulidae. The record is from RNAcentral.
UCGCGAGGGGACCCCAUAUAAGAGGUGUUUACCGGUUACUUGUCCACUUCCAUUGGCUCUUUGCCUCUUGGUCUUUCUACACAAGUGCAUUGUACGGCUUGCCCAGGCUAACAACAAGUUCUGAUAAGAAAUGGACAAGACGAUCAUCGCCCUCAUCUUUCUCUCAAUUCUUGUCUGCGAGAUGUUGCUGACGUCAGCAGCGCCCACACGUCAUCAUAAACAUCACAAACGUCACGCUGCAGAGAAACACUCAAACAGAAUAUCAAAGCACGCAGAAAGACACCACAGGUUACACAAAAGAGACGUUACAGAUCUAACAGCGGUAGACCCCAACACUCCCCGUUCCCGAGUAAAGAGGCAUCACCUUCGACGGAGAAGCACCAUGCCUUUUAUGGUGGUUUCGAUAACCUUAAACAAGCCGACUAAACAGCAACGCCAGCGCCUAAACAGAGGAGCUAUUAUUGCUGAAAUGUAAACCGACACGGAGAAUCUCAAGGCUAUGACGUCACCUUAAUCAACAUUCCAUUUCAUUCCAUUCUCAUCGACUGAAAAACAUGUCAAGCAUAUCAAUAGUGUGACGUCACACUACGCCGUCGAGUCAAGAAGAGGUACGAAAGGGGCGCACAUGAUCUUGGUGUCAUUGAGGUAUAAAAAGAACUGGCAAGUUUAAAAAAUGUGUGGACUACGCCAUUCGGCGUAAACUGUGCGUCCCUGAAGAAAAGGGUGCGUGUCUUUUUGUUUCUUACCAACUUCUAGUCAAACAGUUGGAAGAUAUUCUUUCAAGCGAUUCCAUGAUCUCAUCUCUUUGUGGGCAACUUAAAGCGCUGUAUUGCCAGGGACGUUCGUAGGUGAGUCCCUGUUGCAGAUACACAUGUACAUACAGACUGGGCGGCUAUAUGCUGCCAAGCAUAAUCGGUUUGAAAACGUCAACUGCGCUCUUUCGAAACGUGACAAGAACGUAACUGCGAAAUGAAAAGCCUACAGUAAGCCGCCCAUGAAAGGGUGACUUGAAAUUAAAUAUACAUAAACUGUUCGAUCUGAAAGUUACAACUUUGCGACGGUUAUCGUCAAUGGGCACCAGCGUAGAAAAUGAGUUAAAGACAAAUGUACGGUCUUUUAAAGGAGGAACUCUUACGAUUAACUUAUUGUAAGAAUGAGCUGCAUUUAAGAAUCUCGAUUUCGAAUAAACGAAAACGGGAACGCCUUAUAAAUAAAUUGUAAUUUUUUAAA